RNAcentral lists this ribosomal RNA (1510 nucleotides) under Klebsiella pneumoniae. Its description in RNAcentral is "bacterial SSU rRNA". It matches the Rfam family "Bacterial small subunit ribosomal RNA". The record is from RNAcentral. Lineage: Bacteria; Pseudomonadati; Pseudomonadota; Gammaproteobacteria; Enterobacterales; Enterobacteriaceae.
AGAGUUUGAUCAUGGCUCAGAUUGAACGCUGGCGGCAGGCCUAACACAUGCAAGUCGAGCGGUAGCACAGAGAGCUUGCUCUCGGGUGACGAGCGGCGGACGGGUGAGUAAUGUCUGGGAAACUGCCUGAUGGAGGGGGAUAACUACUGGAAACGGUAGCUAAUACCGCAUAACGUCGCAAGACCAAAGUGGGGGACCUUCGGGCCUCAUGCCAUCAGAUGUGCCCAGAUGGGAUUAGCUAGUAGGUGGGGUAACGGCUCACCUAGGCGACGAUCCCUAGCUGGUCUGAGAGGAUGACCAGCCACACUGGAACUGAGACACGGUCCAGACUCCUACGGGAGGCAGCAGUGGGGAAUAUUGCACAAUGGGCGCAAGCCUGAUGCAGCCAUGCCGCGUGUGUGAAGAAGGCCUUCGGGUUGUAAAGCACUUUCAGCGGGGAGGAAGGCGNCGAUUGACGUUACCCGCAGAAGAAGCACCGGCUAACUCCGUGCCAGCAGCCGCGGUAAUACGGAGGGUGCAAGCGUUAAUCGGAAUUACUGGGCGUAAAGCGCACGCAGGCGGUCUGUCAAGUCGGAUGUGAAAUCCCCGGGCUCAACCUGGGAACUGCAUUCGAAACUGGCAGGCUAGAGUCUUGUAGAGGGGGGUAGAAUUCCAGGUGUAGCGGUGAAAUGCGUAGAGAUCUGGAGGAAUACCGGUGGCGAAGGCGGCCCCCUGGACAAAGACUGACGCUCAGGUGCGAAAGCGUGGGGAGCAAACAGGAUUAGAUACCCUGGUAGUCCACGCCGUAAACGAUGUCGAUUUGGAGGUUGUGCCCUUGAGGCGUGGCUUCCGGAGCUAACGCGUUAAAUCGACCGCCUGGGGAGUACGGCCGCAAGGUUAAAACUCAAAUGAAUUGACGGGGGCCCGCACAAGCGGUGGAGCAUGUGGUUUAAUUCGAUGCAACGCGAAGAACCUUACCUGGUCUUGACAUCCACAGAACUUUCCAGAGAUGGAUUGGUGCCUUCGGGAACUGUGAGACAGGUGCUGCAUGGCUGUCGUCAGCUCGUGUUGUGAAAUGUUGGGUUAAGUCCCGCAACGAGCGCAACCCUUAUCCUUUGUUGCCAGCGGUCCGGCCGGGAACUCAAAGGAGACUGCCAGUGAUAAACUGGAGGAAGGUGGGGAUGACGUCAAGUCAUCAUGGCCCUUACGACCAGGGCUACACACGUGCUACAAUGGCAUAUACAAAGAGAAGCGACCUCGCGAGAGCAAGCGGACCUCAUAAAGUAUGUCGUAGUCCGGAUUGGAGUCUGCAACUCGACUCCAUGAAGUCGGAAUCGCUAGUAAUCGUAGAUCAGAAUGCUACGGUGAAUACGUUCCCGGGCCUUGUACACACCGCCCGUCACACCAUGGGAGUGGGUUGCAAAAGAAGUAGGUAGCUUAACCUUCGGGAGGGCGCUUACCACUUUGUGAUUCAUGACUGGGGUGAAGUCGUAACAAGGUAACCGUAGGGGAACCUGCGGUUGGAUCACCU